RNAcentral lists this ribosomal RNA (452 nucleotides) under Xylariales sp. A592. Its description in RNAcentral is "SSU rRNA". It matches the Rfam family "Bacterial small subunit ribosomal RNA", at positions 257 to 735 of the family's 1533-position model. Lineage: Eukaryota; Fungi; Ascomycota; Sordariomycetes; Xylariales. The record is from RNAcentral.
GUUAUUACUUAACAAGCCUUAACUCUCGUAGUCGAAGCUGAGAGGUUGAUCGACCACACUGGGUCUGAAAAAACCCCAGGACAAAUUAGUACGUACAGCAGUGGGGAAUUUUGGUCAAUGGCCUAGCGGCUGAACUGGCAACUUGGAGGAAUGAUGUAGAUUGCCCGUGUUAACUACAAUUGAUUUAUCAAAUAAAAUUCUAAAUGUAUUAUUGAUAAUGACGAUAUACAGAUUGAUGCCUUGACUAAUUACGUGCCAGCAGUCGCGGUAAUACGUAAGAGGCUAGUGUUAUUCAUCUUAACUAGGUUUAAAGGGUACUUAAACGGUAAAAUUUUCCUUAAUAAAGGUACAUUUUUACUAGAGUUUUAUGUGAGGAGGUAGUACUUAAGGCGUAGAGAUAAAAUUCGUUAAUACCUUAGGGACUGAUAAAGGCGAAGGCAACCUCUUAUGUG